This 497-nucleotide ribosomal RNA is filed under the name uncultured bacterium. Its description in RNAcentral is "partial 16S ribosomal RNA". It matches the Rfam family "Bacterial small subunit ribosomal RNA", at positions 28 to 507 of the family's 1533-position model. The record is from RNAcentral.
GAUGAACGCUGGCGGCGUGCCUAAUACAUGCAAGUCGAGCGAACAGAUGAGGAGCUUGCUCCUCUGACGUUAGCGGCGGACGGGUGAGUAACACGUGGAUAACCUACCUAUAAGACUGGGAUAACUUCGGGAAACCGGAGCUAAUACCGGAUAAUAUAUUGAACCGCAUGGUUCAAUAGUGAAAGUCGGUUUUGCUGUCACUUAUAGAUGGUUCUGCGCCGCAUUAGCUGGUUGGUAAGGUAACGGCUUACCAAGGCAACGAUGCGUAGCCGACGUGAGUGAGUGAUAGGCCGCAUUGGAGCUGGGACACGGUCCUGACUACUACGGGAGGCAGCAGUAGGGAAUCUUCCGCAAAGGGCGAAAACCUGACGGAGCAACGCCGCGUGAGUGAUGAAGGUCUUCGGAUCGUAAAGCUCUGUUUUUAGGGAAGAACAAAUGUGUAAGUAAAUAUGCACGUCUUGACGGUACCUAAUCAGAAAGCCACGGCUAACUACGUG